This 495-nucleotide ribosomal RNA is filed under the name uncultured bacterium. RNAcentral describes it as "partial 16S ribosomal RNA". It matches the Rfam family "Bacterial small subunit ribosomal RNA", at positions 28 to 507 of the family's 1533-position model. The record is from RNAcentral.
GACGAACGCUGGCGGCGUGCCUAAUACAUGCAAGUAGAACGCUGAAGGAGGAGCUUGCUUCUCCGGAUGAGUUGCGAACGGGUGAGUAACGCGUAGGUAACCUGCCUUGUAGCGGGGGAUAACUAUUGGAAACGAUAGCUAAUACCGCAUAACAGUAGAUAUUGCAUGAUAUCUGCUUGAAAGGUGCAAUUGCAUCGCUACCAGAUGGGCCUGCGGUGUAUUUGCUAGUUGGUGAGGUAACGGAUCACCAAGGCGACGAUACAUAGCCGACCGGCGAGGGGGAGUGGCCAGCCUGGGACUGAGACACGGCCCAGACGCCUUGGGGAGGCAGCAGGAGGGAAUCUUCGGGAAGAGAUGGAAGUCUGACCGAGAAACGCCGAGUGAGUGAAGAAGGUUGUCGGAUCGUAAAGCUCGGUUGUAAGAGAAGAACGAGUGUGAGAGUGGAAAGUUCACACUGUGACGGUAUCUGAUAAGAAAGGGACGGCUAACUACGUG